UACUCCUACGGGGAGGCAGCAGUGGGGAAUAUUGGACAAUGGGCGCAAGCCUGAUCCAGCCAUGCCGCGUGAGUGAUGAAGGCCCUAGGGUUGUAAAGCUCUUUCACCGGAGAAGAUAAUGACGGUAUCCGGAGAAGAAGCCCCGGCUAACUUCGUGCCAGCAGCCGCGGUAAUACGAAGGGGGCUAGCGUUGUUCGGAAUUACUGGGCGUAAAGCGCACGUAGGCGGAUCGAUCAGUCAGGGGUGAAAUCCCAGGGCUCAACCCUGGAACUGCCUUUGAUACUGUCGAUCUGGAGUAUGGAAGAGGUGAGUGGAAUUCCGAGUGUAGAGGUGAAAUUCGUAGAUAUUCGGAGGAACACCAGUGGCGAAGGCGGCUCACUGGUCCAUUACUGACGCUGAG
Molecule: ribosomal RNA, 400 nt
Filed under: Rhizobium sp.
Lineage: Bacteria; Pseudomonadati; Pseudomonadota; Alphaproteobacteria; Hyphomicrobiales; Rhizobiaceae
Description: bacterial SSU rRNA
Rfam family: Bacterial small subunit ribosomal RNA
Source: RNAcentral